Juglans microcarpa x Juglans regia is the source of this 753-nucleotide long non-coding RNA. RefSeq lists it as uncharacterized. Lineage: Eukaryota; Viridiplantae; Streptophyta; Magnoliopsida; Fagales; Juglandaceae. The record is from RefSeq and is a predicted model, not a curated record. The transcript is spliced from 4 exons.
UUGGUUCCUUCCACAGAUAUGUAAGCUACUAGGUAAAGUGGAACUCAACUUCUAUGAAUCCUGGCCAUAGGCUUCCUUCAAGGACGACCAGAGCUAAGCAGCAGACUCCAACCUGACAACAAGGCUAAGUGUCUCCAAUGAAAGGGUUCCUAAGAUCCACCCAUGAAGUAGCCUACCUGAUUUGCGCCACUGAAUAAAUUCUUCACUAAAGGAGCUCUGAUCAGAGCCUGAAGCUCAAUCAAGGGCACCAUAUGUUGGAGGUGUCGAGCUCUCACCAAUCGAAAAUAUGAUCAACUAGGUCUUGGCUCUCUGCCAAGGCCAAAAUUUGCUCAUGCCACAUUGGGUAAUUGGAGUUGGUGAGGUGCAAGGUAACAAAAUUCCCAACAUUGAGGGAGAUGGUAGCCAUGGGAGGAAGACUUUGUUACUCUCACACAGGCUUUGGUACCAUGAAGAAGAGUGCACACAAGGUGUUUGAGAAAAAUACUCACUCACUGUGAGAGAGCCGAGAGUCUUUGUAUUCAUUUAUAUACAAGGUACAAGGUUCUAUUAUGAAUAAUACUAGUUGUAUUGACGGUUGGAAUGCAAGAUUAUACAAGGAAAAAUAAAGUUGUAAUUAUCUAUAUGCUUCCGUUGGGUUGAGAGGUUCUCAUAUAUAGGCUAGCAAUUGGGUGAGUUGCCAUGUAUAUAGACGCGAAUCUAUAUUUGGUAUAUGCCCAUGAUUGGUGCAUAGCUGUUGGGAUUGAGCUACGUUGA